RNAcentral lists this ribosomal RNA (253 nucleotides) under uncultured bacterium. Its description in RNAcentral is "partial 16S ribosomal RNA". It matches the Rfam family "Bacterial small subunit ribosomal RNA", at positions 524 to 776 of the family's 1533-position model. The record is from RNAcentral.
UACGGGGGGUGCGAGCGUUGUCCGGAAUCACUGGGCGUAAAGGGCGCGUAGGCGGCUUGAUAAGCGUGCGGUGAAAGCCCGGGGCUCAACCCCGGGUCGGCCGUGCGAACUGUCGAGCUGGAGCACUGUAGAGGCAGGUGGAAUUCCGGGUGUAGCGGUGGAAUGCGUAGAGAUCCGGAAGAACACCGGUGGCGAAGGCGGCCUGCUGGGCAGUGGCUGACGCUGAGGCGCGACAGCGUGGGGAGCAAACAGG